Molecule: ribosomal RNA, 901 nt
Filed under: bacterium enrichment culture clone AOM-SR-B76
Lineage: Bacteria
Description: bacterial SSU rRNA
Rfam family: Bacterial small subunit ribosomal RNA
Source: RNAcentral
GUUUAAGCCCGAGGCUCAACUUCGGACAGGCAAGAGAAACUAUUGGGAUUGAGUUAGUUCGGGGUAGCUGGAAUUCUCGGUGGAGGGGUGAAAUCCGUAGAGAUCGAGAGGAACGUCAAACGCGAAGGCAGGCUACUAGGACAUAACUGACGCUAAGGGACGAAAGCUUGGGUAGCAAAAGGGAUUAGAGACCCCUGUAGUCCAAGCCGUAAACAAUCUUUGCUAGUUGUUCCUGAUUUCGAUCGGGGGUGACGUAAGCUAACGCGUUAAGCAAAGCGCCUGGGGAGUACAAUCGCAAGAUUAAAACUCAAAGGAAUUGGCGGGGGAGCGUACAACCGGUGGAGCAUGUGGUUUAAUUCGAUACAAAGCGAAAAACGUUACCUGGGUUUGACAUCUAGCUGCAACGCUUGGGAAACCAAGAAGUCUUCGAGAGUGCUAGACAGGUGAUGCAUGGCUGUCGUCAGCUCGUGUCGUGAGACGUCCGCUUAAGUGCGGUAACGAGCGCAACCCUUAUCGUAUGUUAUAUGUACCAUACGAGACUGCCCUGCUUAUGCAGGGAGGAAGGAGAGGACGACGUCAAGUCAGCACGUCCCUUACAUCCAGGGCUACACACAUCCUACAAUGGGAAGAACAACGGGUCGCGAUGCCGUGAGGCUAAGCCAAUCCUAAUAAACCUUCCCUCAGUUCAGAUUGAAGGCUGCAACUCGCCUUCAUGAAGCCGGAAUCGGUAGUAAUCGCAAAUCAGAAGGUUGCGGUGAAUACGUUCUCGCUCCUUGCACACACUGCCCGUCAAGCCAGCAAAGUCAGCAGCGCCCGAAGCGGGUGACCGUAACUCUAUUUAUAGAGAUCGGCCCUACUACGGCGAGGUUGGCGAUGAGGACUAAGUCGUAACAAGGUAACC